GGGGGUGUAGCUCAGAGGUAGAGUGCUCGUUUCGCAUACGAGAAGUCCCGGGUUCGAACCCCGGCACCUCCA
RNAcentral lists this transfer RNA (72 nucleotides) under Dermacentor andersoni. RNAcentral's name for it is "transfer RNA alanine (anticodon CGC)". It matches the Rfam family "tRNA". Rfam says of the family: Transfer RNA (tRNA) molecules are approximately 80 nucleotides in length. Their secondary structure includes four short double-helical elements and three loops (D, anti-codon, and T loops). Further hydrogen bonds mediate the characteristic L-shaped molecular structure. tRNAs have two regions of fundamental functional importance: the anti-codon, which is responsible for specific mRNA codon recognition, and the 3' end, to which the tRNAs corresponding amino acid is attached (by aminoacyl-tRNA synthetases). tRNAs cope with the degeneracy of the genetic code in two manners: having more than one tRNA (with a specific anti-codon) for a particular amino acid; and 'wobble' base-pairing, i.e. permitting non-standard base-pairing at the 3rd anti-codon position. Lineage: Eukaryota; Metazoa; Arthropoda; Arachnida; Ixodida; Ixodidae. The record is from RNAcentral.